AUGGCAGAGCACCUGUCAGCCAGGGGUCAGGAGUCAGCCAGGGAAACAGAUCCACCAAGAGACAUAAAUGGGAGAUAUAUGACUUGUUACAGAGAUAUGAUCUCACAUAAUCGUGGGAGCUGGCAAGCGGUCUCUGCAAAGCUGUUGUCUUCACAUCUGAUGCUGAAGCUUGAAGUCCACAAGACAGGCAGCUACGAAGGAAAGAUAGAUACAAAGUGGGGGAAAUCGAGAACAAGCUGGAACCCCUAAGUAUGAGAUGGAACCCCACACUGAUGGACUAAAACCCGUGUCAAUCCUUGCUGCCUCUAUGUAAGUGGUAUGGGUAUCCUGCAGAAGCCAGGGUCCUUUGGUGUGGAGCUAAACGCAGACCCCUGGCCCAGACAUAGGAGCAGAAGAGCCGAAGGGGGAUUCAGGGGAAGUUCUACCGCUUCCCGCCAACGAGAUAUCGCAUGUUUCUUCUCAUCCGAUUACCAGAGAAGGCUAUGCCUGCAGUAGCCACCAGUCCCAUGAGGAUAUGACGUGUGUGGAGCAAGCCAGGAGAGGCACUCAACCUAGGUCAGCCUAGCCGCAGUUGACUGGCAGCUCCACAGUUUGGGAAUCCCAGGCAGGAGACAGAAAGUGACAUGAGGAAGAGACCCUAAAACUCCAAAUCUUCUUAACGCUUGGGAGAAACUUUAAUGUUUUGUACACACCUUUGUUUCUCCAAAACAGAGGCAGGGUCUAGCGCUUCAGACAACUGGGUCUCAACUCGCCCACCGAAUCCUCUGCCUCCACAGAGGGGACACAGCUUCUCUCGUCCGCCUGGGGUGCGACAGCCUCAGCCAACAGAGCCUCAGGACCCACAAUCUGAGAUGCCCAGAAUUCAGCCCAGACACUUCGGACGGUGGCUAAAGCUAUGCUUCAGAAGUUUGGUAAUUUAUUCCCCCACCUCAGUCCCCUAGAUGGCUUCAUGAGAAAAGAGAAACCAGCUCAGAGUCCAGUUCCUCCCACACAACUUCAAGAGGACAGAUAUGCAGCCCAUGAAGCAAAACUGGCAGAGCAAUGAAGUGUUUGCAGCUGCGUAGAGAUCAGACCCUCAGCACGGAGCCCCAGACCUCUCCAGAUGGCCCAGCAACCCAAAUCUAACCCAAACCCAGACAACUGAAGUAGUGUCUUCUCUCAACAGGCUCAGAUCUAUCCAACCUCAUCCAAUACAGUAAAUAAUCAUCGUGAAACCAAAGCCAUGGAAACUCAACUCUGGGUGUCCGUUCCUCAUGCGUCUUGUGUGACUAUUUUCCCUCUGAGCUUUCUUCUUAGAUGGAAUGAAUGACUUCACUUGCUUCCAACCACAGUGACUAAGACUCAAAGAUGGUGUUUGCUUGGAAAUAAAAUUUAGCUUCAUAGCAUCAUCCUGCCUCUAUGUGGAUCAUGUGUCUCUGGAUCUCCUUGCAUCAUUGAAAAAGACAGAGGGAGACCUGGAGACAGGAUGCUUCUGGGAAGUCCACUUAUGUCAUGGCAGAGUGAGAACUUUAUUCAUUUAUUCAACAAAUAUUUAUUGAACACCUGUUCUGUGACACAAACUACACUAUGUACUGGAAAUACCAUGAACAAGAUAAACAAAGUCCCUUCUCUUACAGGGUUUGCAUUCUAGACAGAAGGAGAUAGACAACGAACCAGUACACAGGUUGUGCCCCGCCUCCUUCCCUCCUAUUUCAAGAUCAGAGCUCUGGCGAAUGCAGUGGGACAUUGUGACGAUCUCCCAGAAGGGCCCAGACUCUACUUUUUUUCUGGCCCAAAUUCUCAUUUCUCCCUGUGAUUCCCCAUGAGCUUUGGCAUUCAUCCGGUUCUGCACUCAGGGAAGGACCCAAGAAAUCUUGUUGGUGCCAAGAUGUUCAGUAAACUCCAGAUCUGGGGCUCUUGGCUGACAUAGGUAGGCCACAGGAUGCCAGGGCCCCAGAGAGGAAGAGCAGAUUCCCGAGGAUCCCCAAAGAUGAAGCUCACCAACU
Long non-coding RNA from Physeter macrocephalus (sperm whale), 1985 nucleotides. RefSeq lists it as uncharacterized. The record is from RefSeq and is a predicted model, not a curated record. NCBI's taxonomy places the organism in Eukaryota, Metazoa, Chordata, Mammalia, Artiodactyla, Physeteridae. The transcript has 6 exons.